Molecule: ribosomal RNA, 405 nt
Filed under: uncultured bacterium
Lineage: Bacteria
Description: bacterial SSU rRNA
Rfam family: Bacterial small subunit ribosomal RNA
Source: RNAcentral
UAGGGAAUUUUCCACAAUGGGCGAAAGCCUGAUGGAGCAACGCCGCGUGCAGGAUGAAGGCUUUAGGGUCGUAAACUGCUUUUAUGUGCGAUGAAUUUGACAGUAACACAUGAAUAAGGAUCGGCUAACUACGUGCCAGCAGCCGCGGUUAUACGUAGGAUCCAAGCGUUAUCCGGAAUUACUGGGCGUAAAGAGUUGCGUAGGUGGCAUUGUAAGCAAGACAUAAAAUCGUGUGGCUCAACCAUACAACCAUGUCUUGAACUGCAAAGCUAGAGAGCGAGAGGGGUAGAUGGAAUUACUAGUGUAGGAGUGAAAUCCGUAGAUAUUAGUAGGAACACCGAUAGCGUAGGCAGUCUACUGGCUCGUUUCUGACACUGAGGCACGAAAGCGUGGGGAGCAAAUGGG